AAGCACCAUACGAUCACCGAAGUUAAGCCACGUGGAACCUGGUCAGUACCUAGAUGGGUGACCGCUUGGGAAUACCAGGUGCUGUAUG
Acanthosepion pharaonis is the source of this 88-nucleotide non-coding RNA. The record is from the annotation of a GenBank genome assembly. NCBI's taxonomy places the organism in Eukaryota, Metazoa, Mollusca, Cephalopoda, Sepiida, Sepiidae.